GUGUUGUAUAAAAUGUUUGCGCUAAUAUCAAUGAUGAUGUGAUUUAGAUAUUUCAUUGAUGUGUGACUUAGCAUAGGCAAACAUGAACACCGAUGAGGAUUGUUCAGUAUGUUUACCUCUUCCAUUGCAUUCAUCUGACCCUUUAUUGGUUAUUGGGUUUGUGUGGAGUUCCUUGUUACUUUUUAGUUUGAGGGGUUUGUGUAAGAAUUCAAAGCUCAUGUCCUGAUCUGCACUUCGCUGGGAUGAGCCACUGCCAAGAGACGAAAGUGUGCUGCUAUCUGAUUAGAUGGAGAGGAUAGUUAGAUAGAUUACAGACUUUCGUCAGAAGACCGCUCCUGUUUUUUGACCAAGUCCCCCAUAAUUGAGAGAGGCUGAUAUAAACUGUCCUGCAUACAGACGCCUCCAACGAACACUAAUUCUCCCCUCCCCCCAACUUCUCCUCUCUCCCCACAAAUAUUUCUCCUUUCUUGGCUUUGCGGCAAAUCCAAAUGGAGGCGGCUUUUGCGUGACCUCCUCCGUCGCCCCAUCGCAGCCGCCUCCCUCGAUCUCCUCCAGGUAAUCUUCCGCGAGAGAUUCAUCUAGUCCGCUGAUUGUUGUGGGGCCGGGCUUAGGGUUUCGAUUCGGCCGUCCGCUUGAUCGGUGGCUGGUUGGAUGGAGUUGGAUCUGAUCCUUCCAGCUCCGGCUUCCGCUCCCCUUUUUGGAGGUUUUCGGUGGAUUGUAUAGCGGUGGAUCGCGAAAGGUCUCGCUUUCUGUUGUUUUUGCUCAUUCGGUUCCUCGUUUCUGUUGGAUCAUUUGUCCUACUUAUUCUUUUUGGUUUCUGUGUGUUCGUAGAUUCUUCUUUCUAUUUUUCUUUGCUGAGAGGGAGAAAUUGGUUUGAAGGUUGUGUGUUUUUUUGGGGUUUGGUGGUGGGAUUUAUGGAAUGGAACUGUGAGGAUUUUUCGUGGGAUGCUUCUAUUUGGUGUCGUGGGUCUCGAAUCUUGCCAGAUAGAUCGGAGUCGAAGAGGAGAGGAGACGUGAUCAAGGGAAGAAGAAGAGACGGAGAGGGGCGAGGGAGACCCCGCCAUGGGAGAGUCCCUCCUCACCGCUCUCUCCAUGGACCAUCACCACCACCCCUCAACCCUCCUGUCAAUGGACCCCAGCGGCAUUUCACAGCCGCCGCUGAUGGCAGCCUCCGUCCACGAUGACCACGACCAUGAGCUUCCGAACCGGCAACAUCAGCAAAUCCACCUCUCUGGUCCGCCGGACAUCAACCUCCCCCUCUCCGAUGACCACUCCCCUCCCAAGCAGUCGUGGAAUUCAUGUGACGUGUUGGAUGUCAGUCUUGAGGCCCAGACGUUCGACCCUGAAAUCAUGCUCGGCCUUCCCAAGGCUGGGACCGUUAAUGCUGCUGGUCGCAAGUGUGCCAAGAGAGGGAACAACAUCUGGGGUGCGUGGUUCUUCUUCAAUUUCUACUUCAAGCCUGUGCUCUCUGAGAAGUCCAAGGGCAAGAACAUCCGCACUGCAAACGGCACCCCGGGGUUUGACAAGUCGGACCUGCAUCAUGAUGUUUUCCUUGUUCAGCAUGACAUGGAGAAUAUGUAUAUGUGGGUGUUCAAGAAGCGGCCAGAGAAUGCGCUUGGAAAGAUGCAACUUCGGAGCUACAUGAAUGGGCACUCUCGGCUUGGGGUGCCUCAGUUCCCAUUCAGCAUUGAUAAGGGUUUCAUACGAUCCCAUCGGAUGCAACGCAAGCAUUACAGGGGGUUGUCUAACCCACUGUGCAUCCAUGGAAUAGAGGUUGUGUGGUCACCAAAUCUCUUGGUGGUUCCAGAGGUGGAUCUUAAGAAAUGGUUGGAACUUACUGGGAGAGACCUGAAUUUUUCGAUCCCACCAGAGGCUGGUGAUUUUGGGGCAUGGAGGAAUCUCCCGAGCACUGAUUUUGAGCUUGAGAGGCCACCUCCUCCAUUAAAGAGUACUUCUCAUCCCAAUUCAAGGAAAUUGCUAAAUGACACAGGUCUUAAGUUAUCAACGCAGCCAUCAAAUCAUGCGUGCGGAGAUUCGAUGGACCUUUCGCCUAAAUGUAGCAAACGCAGGAAGGAAAUUUCCCCUCAUGACACAGAUGAGGACUGCUGUUUGUCUAGUUACUCAUAUUUGGAUCGGCCGGAAAUUCACCCUGCUGUGCCUUCCUGGGUAAAUGAGUUUACCGGUGCUAUGAGGCAUGCAUGUGGACCGGUGACUGCUGCAAAGACAAUAUAUGAGGAUGAAGGGGGUUACUUGAUCAUGGUUAGCUUGCCUUUUUCUGACCAGCAGAAGGUAAAGGUCUCUUGGAAAAACAAUCUUACCCAUGGGGUAGUAAAGAUUUCAUGCGUCAGUACUGCUCGGAUGCCUUACAUAAAAAGACAUGAUAGAACCUUCAAGCUCACAGAUCCUUCUCCUGAGCAUUGCCCUCCAGGGGAGUUUGUAAGGGAAAUACCUCUUGCUACACGAAUUCCUGAAGACGCAAAGCUGGAAGCAUACUACGAUGAGACGGGAACUCUUUUAGAAAUAAUGAUACCUAAAUAUCGUGUUGGACCUGAGGAACAUGAGGUUCAUGUGAGCAUGCACCCUCCUCAUCUUGGAUCCAAUGAACUUCUGUCAUCUCAAACACCAUAGUAUAGUGUGUAGUGGUUAUUACGAUGGUCAGUUCUCAUUGUCUGCUAACCGUUUUAUCAUAAAAGGAGCGUAUGCGUUGGAAGUCCUUUUGCAACUGGGUUUUGCUGAUUGACUUGCUGCUCUGGCGUGUUUGAUGAGAAAAUAAACUGGGAUGGGACAAGAGCUUCACACAUGGGGUAAUCGAAGAAAAGUGGUAUGGUCUUCACUUUUCAUGUUCAUACAGCAAUAUGCGAAUGAAGUCGGGUUUAUGAAUUCUUUUUUGUUUCCCUUUUUACCUGAUUAUUUUGUAGGCAAUUCUCUGCUGAUUUGUUGGCAUAUCACACUGAUCUCCAUGGAAUGUGCUGAGUCAAAAAUUGUGCAGUCAUUGAUAUUUGGUAUUUUAAGUCAAUUGUUGCUUCACAGAGGAACUAUUUAUUGUAGAUUGACUAAUUCAGAAACAGUCAAUUGUUUUGGUAUUCAAAGGAUUUCUUUGUUCAAGGGAAAUUACUGGAUAUCACUUUAUCCUA
Molecule: RNA transcript, 3134 nt
Organism: Musa acuminata AAA Group (dessert banana)
Lineage: Eukaryota; Viridiplantae; Streptophyta; Magnoliopsida; Zingiberales; Musaceae
Exons: 2
Source: RefSeq, a predicted model, not a curated record